UACGUAGGCAGCGAGCGUUGUCCGGAUUUAUUGGGCGUAAAGAGCGUGUAGGCGGCUUUACAGGUCCGUUGUGAAAACUCGAGGCUCAACCUCGAGACGCCGGUGGAAACCGUAAAGCUAGAGUCCGGAAGAGGAGAGUGGAAUUCCUGGUGUAGCGGUGAAAUGCGCAGAUAUCAGGAGGAACACCCGUGGCGAAAGCGGCUCUCUGGGACGGUACUGACGCUGAGACGCGAAAGCGUGGGGAGCAAACAGG
This 253-nucleotide ribosomal RNA is filed under the name uncultured bacterium. Its description in RNAcentral is "partial 16S ribosomal RNA". It matches the Rfam family "Bacterial small subunit ribosomal RNA", at positions 524 to 776 of the family's 1533-position model. The record is from RNAcentral.